RNAcentral lists this ribosomal RNA (460 nucleotides) under uncultured bacterium. Its description in RNAcentral is "partial 16S ribosomal RNA". It matches the Rfam family "Bacterial small subunit ribosomal RNA", at positions 338 to 795 of the family's 1533-position model. The record is from RNAcentral.
CCUACGGGUGGCAGCAGUGAGGAAUAUUGGUCAAUGGUCGUGAGACUGAACCAGCCAAGUAGCGUGAAGGAUGACUGCCCUAUGGGUUGUAAACUUCUUUUAUAAAGGGAUAAAGUGCGGCACGUGUGCCGUUUUGUAUGUACCUUAUGAAUAAGGACCGGCUAAUUCCGUGCCAGCAGCCGCGGUAAUACGGAGGGUCCGAGCGUUAUCCGGAUUUAUUGGGUUUAAAGGGAGCGUAGGUGGGUUGUUAAGUCAGUUGUGAAAGUUUGCGGCUCAACCGUGACAUUGCAAUUGAUACUGGCAGGCUUGAGUACAGUUGAGGUAGGCGGAAUUCGUGGUGUAGCGGUGAAAUGCUUAGAUAUCACGAAGAACUCCGAUUGCGAAGGCAGCUUACUGAACUGCCACUGACGUUGAUGCUCGAAAGUGUGGGUAUCAAACAGGAUUAGAUACCCCUGUAGUC